GUUCUUUUUUCAGACAUUCAGUGUAAGCUGCAUGGCUGACACGUCACACGCUGUCAGUGAGACACUUCUGAGGAAGGAGAGAGACAUCACAGAAAGUGUCAAACAAAGGUAGCGCUGUCUGUCUCACACUCAUAUCUUCAGCUCAUCAUCUCAUGACGUGGAGAUGGAUCA
Molecule: long non-coding RNA, 171 nt
Filed under: Gouania willdenowi (blunt-snouted clingfish)
Lineage: Eukaryota; Metazoa; Chordata; Actinopteri; Blenniiformes; Gobiesocidae
Description: lncRNA (ENSGWIG00000020777.1)
Source: RNAcentral